GGCCCCAACAGCAUGGAGACUGGCACACUAGAAGACAAGGGAAGUUAGUGUUCAAGGGAGAGAAAAAUACAAAAUAGGACUGAGGAGGUUCCCAGACCUCCUGGAUUCUAUUCAUAGACCUCUUGAGAGUGUAUGAUAUACAGAUGAAGAACCCAACUUGUGCUCCACUAUUCCUCCUGCUCACAUUUAUGUUUUGGAAAUACUUCUUGCUCUUAUGUGGAGAGUGAAGAUGGGAAACCAUGAGGAGAAAGGUUAUAUUAUGUUGAAAAUUAGACACAAAGCUUCUUCUAAGACUAAUAAUAUGCUGCAAAAUUUUAUUUUGGAAAUGAAAAAGUUAUCAUUAAUUUCAUAGCUAAUAUUUUUCCCAAACAUUGUACAUAAAUUCAUCAUAUCUAUAAUUUUCAGCCAGGUUUUGAAAACCAGUCAGAUUUGGGUAGUUUGCUAUGAUUUAAACUUUACAAAUUAUUAUUUGAUUAUUU
Molecule: long non-coding RNA, 479 nt
Filed under: Papio anubis (olive baboon)
Lineage: Eukaryota; Metazoa; Chordata; Mammalia; Primates; Cercopithecidae
Description: lncRNA (ENSPANG00000042744.1)
Source: RNAcentral